AGUGAACGCUGGCGGUAGGCCUAACACAUGCAAGUCGAACGGCAGCACAGUAAGAGCUUGCUCUUACGGGUGGCGAGUGGCGGACGGGUGAGGAAUACAUCGGAAUCUACUUUUUCGUGGGGGAUAACGUAGGGAAACUUACGCUAAUACCGCAUACUUCCUACGGGUGAAAGCAGGGGAUCUUCGGACCUUGCGCGAUUGAAUGAGCCGAUGUCGGAUUAGCUAGUUGGCGGGGUAAAGGCCCACCAAGGCGACGAUCCGUAGCUGGUCUGAGAGGAUGAUCAGCCACACUGGAACUGAGAAACGGUACAGACUCCGAAGAGAGGCAGCAGUGGGGAAUAUUGGACAAUGGGCGCAAGCCUGAUCCAGCCAUACCGCGUGGGUGAAGAAGGCCUUCGGGUUGUAAAGCCCUUUUGUUGGGAAAGAAAAGCAGCAGGUUAAUACCCCGAUGUUCUGACGGUACCCAAAGAAUAAGCACCGGCUAACUUCGUG
This 492-nucleotide ribosomal RNA is filed under the name uncultured bacterium. RNAcentral describes it as "partial 16S ribosomal RNA". It matches the Rfam family "Bacterial small subunit ribosomal RNA", at positions 29 to 507 of the family's 1533-position model. The record is from RNAcentral.